CACCGACCGAGAGAGACAGAAAAGGAGGCGGUCGAGGGAAUCUGAGAAGGCGCACAAGGUUUGUGUCCAAUACGCUCCACACCUUGCGCUACUCAGGUCUGCUCGUGCCCUCCCAUGGUAUCAGCUCUCCUGCGAUGUGGGGA
Molecule: microRNA precursor, 143 nt
Organism: Equus caballus (horse)
Lineage: Eukaryota; Metazoa; Chordata; Mammalia; Perissodactyla; Equidae
Product: eca-mir-3200
Source: Ensembl